This 467-nucleotide ribosomal RNA is filed under the name uncultured bacterium. RNAcentral describes it as "partial 16S ribosomal RNA". It matches the Rfam family "Bacterial small subunit ribosomal RNA", at positions 28 to 507 of the family's 1533-position model. The record is from RNAcentral.
GACGAACGCUGGCGGCGUGCUUAACACAUGCAAGUCGAACGGAAAGGCCCUGCUUUUGUGGGGUGCUCGAGUGGCGAACGGGUGAGUAACACGUGAGUAACCUGCCCUUGACUUUGGGAUAACUUCAGGAAACUGGGGCUAAUACCGGAUAGGAGCUCCUGCUGCAUGGUGGGGUUGGAAAGUUUCGGCGGUUGGGGAUGGACUCGCGGCUUAUCAGCUUGUUGGUGGGGUAGUGGCUUACCAAGGCUUUGACGGGUAGCCGGCCUGAGAGGGUGACCGGCCACAUUGGGACUGAGAUACGGCCCAGACUCCUACGGGAGGCAGCAGUGGGGAAUAUUGCACAAUGGGCGGAAGCCUGAUGCAGCAACGCCGCGUGCGGGAUGACGGCCUUCGGGUCGUAAACCGCUUUCGCCUGUGACGAAGCGUGAGUGACGGUAAUGGGUAAAGAAGCACCGGCUAACUACGUG